Molecule: non-coding RNA, 85 nt
Organism: Clostridium sp.
Lineage: Bacteria; Bacillati; Bacillota; Clostridia; Eubacteriales; Clostridiaceae
Source: Rfam
GGGCGCCGGAUGCGGUGAAAGUCGCAUGUCCGGUGCUAGCCGGGGGAAAAGCUGGAGAUAACAUCAAAGGCUUACCUAUCGGAAC